GUGCUUGCUUUGGCAGCAUGUAUCCUAAAAUUGGAGUGAUGCAGAGAAGAUUAGCAUGGCCCCGUAGAAGGAUGACAUGCAAAUCCGUAAAGCGUUCUAUAUUUUC
RNAcentral lists this small nuclear RNA (106 nucleotides) under Microtus ochrogaster (prairie vole). Lineage: Eukaryota; Metazoa; Chordata; Mammalia; Rodentia; Cricetidae. The record is from RNAcentral.